ACUCCUACGGGAGGCAGCAGUGGGGAAUUUUGCGCAAUGGGGGAAACCCUGACGCAGCAACGCCGCGUGGAGGAUGAAAUCCCUUGGGAUGUAAACUCCUUUCGAUCGGGACGAUUAUGACGUACCUGAAGA
RNAcentral lists this ribosomal RNA (132 nucleotides) under uncultured Acidobacteriota bacterium. RNAcentral's name for it is "uncultured Acidobacteria bacterium partial 16S ribosomal RNA". It matches the Rfam family "Bacterial small subunit ribosomal RNA", at positions 335 to 466 of the family's 1533-position model. Lineage: Bacteria; Pseudomonadati; Acidobacteriota. The record is from RNAcentral.